This 434-nucleotide ribosomal RNA is filed under the name uncultured bacterium. RNAcentral's name for it is "partial 16S ribosomal RNA". It matches the Rfam family "Bacterial small subunit ribosomal RNA", at positions 29 to 507 of the family's 1533-position model. The record is from RNAcentral.
AGCGAACGCUGGCGGCAGGCCUAACACAUGCAAGUCGAACGAACCUUUCGGGGUUAGUGGCGGACGGGUGAGUAACACGUGGGAACGUGCCUUUAGGUUCGGAAUACCUCAGGGAAACUUGUGCUAAUACCGAAUGUGCCCUUCUGGGGAAAGAUUUAUCGCCUUUAGAGCGGCCCGCGUCUGAUUAGCUAGUUGGUUGAGGUAAUGGCUCACCAAGGCGACGAUCAGUAGCUGGUCUGAGAGGAUGAUCAGCCACAUUGGGACUGAGACACGGCCCAAACUACUACGGGAGGCAGGAGUGGGGAAUCUUGCGAAAUGGGGGAAAGGCUGACGCAGCCAUGCCGGGUGAAUGAUGAAGGUCGUAGGAUAGUAAAAUUCUUUCACCGGGGACGAUAAUGACGGUACCCGGAGAAGAAGCCCCGGCUAACUUCGUG